GUAGGUGGCAAGCGUUGUCCGGAAUUAUUGGGCGUAAAGCGCGCGCAGGUGGUUCUUUAAGUCUGAUGUGAAAGCCCCCGGCUCAACCGGGGAGGGUCAUUGGAAACUGGGGAACUUGAGUGCAGGAGAGGAAAGUGGAAUUCCACGUGUAGCGGUGAAAUGCGUAGAUAUGUGGAGGAACACCAGUGGCGAAGGCGACUUUCUGGCCUGUAACUGACACUGAGGCGCGAAAGCGUGGGGAGCAAACAGGGAUUAGAUACCCUGGUAGUCCACGCCGUAAACGAUGAGUGCUAAGUGUUGGGGGGGUUUCCCGCCCCUCAGUGCUGCAGCUAACGCAUUAAGCACUCCGCCUGGGGAGUACGUCGCAAGACUG
This 373-nucleotide ribosomal RNA is filed under the name uncultured organism. Its description in RNAcentral is "partial 16S ribosomal RNA". It matches the Rfam family "Bacterial small subunit ribosomal RNA", at positions 527 to 896 of the family's 1533-position model. The record is from RNAcentral.